UACGUAGGGUGCAAGCGUUAAUCGGAAUUACUGGGCGUAAAGCGUGCGCAGGCGGUGAUGUAAGACAGUUUGUGAAAUCCCCGGGCUCAACCUGGGAACUGCAUCUGUGACUGCAUCGCUGGAGUGCGGCAGAGGGGGAUGGAAUUCCGCGUGUAGCAGUAAAAUGCGUAGAUAUGCGGAGGAACACCGAUGGCGAAGGCAAUCCCCUGGGCCUGCACUGACGCUCAUGCACGAAAGCGUGGGGAGCAAACAGG
This 254-nucleotide ribosomal RNA is filed under the name uncultured bacterium. RNAcentral's name for it is "partial 16S ribosomal RNA". It matches the Rfam family "Bacterial small subunit ribosomal RNA", at positions 524 to 776 of the family's 1533-position model. The record is from RNAcentral.